RNAcentral lists this non-coding RNA (24 nucleotides) under Arabidopsis thaliana (thale cress). Lineage: Eukaryota; Viridiplantae; Streptophyta; Magnoliopsida; Brassicales; Brassicaceae. The record is from RNAcentral.
UACAAUGAAGUGAAGAGAACCAAC